RNAcentral lists this ribosomal RNA (1414 nucleotides) under Candidatus Phloeobacter fragariae. RNAcentral's name for it is "Candidatus Phlomobacter fragariae 16S ribosomal RNA". It matches the Rfam family "Bacterial small subunit ribosomal RNA". Lineage: Bacteria; Pseudomonadati; Pseudomonadota; Gammaproteobacteria; Enterobacterales; Enterobacteriaceae. The record is from RNAcentral.
GAGCGGCGGACGGGUGAGUAAGGUAUGGGGAUCUGGCCGAAGGCGGGGGAUAACCACUGGAAACGGUGGCUAAUACCGCAUAAUCUCUAAGGAGCAAAGUGGGGGACUUUCGGGCCUCACACCUUCGGAUGAACCCAUAUGAGAUUAGCUAGUAGGUGGGGUAAAGGCUCACCUAGGCUACGAUCUCUAGCUGGUCUGAGAGGAUGAUCAGCCACACUGGGACUGAGACACGGCCCAGACUCCUAGGGGAGGCAGCAGUGGGGAAUAUUGCACAAUGGGCGCAAGCCUGAUGCAGCCAUGCCGCGUGUAUGAAGAAGGCCUUCGGGUUGUAAAGUACUUUCAGUCGUGAGGAAGGUGUUAGGGUUAAUAGUCUUAGCAAUUGACAUUAGCGACAGAAGAAGCACCGGCUAACUCCGUGCCAGCAGCCGCGGUAAUACGGAGGGUGCGAGCGUUAAUCGGAAUUACUGGGCGUAAAGGGCACGCAGGCGGUUAGUUAAGUUGGAUGUGAAAUCCCCGGGCUUAACCUGGGAAUGGCAUUCAAGACUGGUUAGCUAGAGUCUUGUAGAGGGGGGUAGAAUUCCAUGUGUAGCGGUGAAAUGCGUAGAGAUGUGGAGGAAUACCGGUGGCGAAGGCGGCCCCCUGGAUAAAGACUGACGCUCAUUUGCGAAAGCGUGGGGAGCAAACAGGAUUAGAUACCCUGGUAGUCCACGCUGUAAACGAUGUCGAUUUGGAGGUUGUGGUCCUGAACUGUGGCCUCCGGAGCUAACGCGUUAAAUCGACCGCCUGGGGAGUACGGCCGCAAGGUUAAAACUCAAAUGAAUUGACGGGGGCCCGCACAAGCGGUGGAGCAUGUGGUUUAAUUCGAUGCAACGCGAAGAACCUUACCUACUCUUGACAUCCAGAGAAUCCUUUAGAGAUAGAGGAGUGCCUUCGGGAACUUUGAGACAGGUGCUGCAUGGCUGUCGUCAGCUCGUGUUGUGAAAUGUUGGGUUAAGUCCCGCAACGAGCGCAACCCUUAUCCUUUGUUGCCAUCGAUUCGGUCGGGAACUCAAAGGAGACUGCCGGUGAUAAACCGGAGGAAGGUGGGGAUGACGUCAAGUCAUCAUGGCCCUUACGAGUAGGGCUACACACGUGCUACAAUGGCGUAUACAGAGAGAGGCGAGCCUGCGAGGGGAAGCGGAACUCAGAAAGUACGUCGAAGUUCGGAUUGGAGUCUGCAACUCGACUCCAUGAAGUCGGAAUCGCUAGUAAUCGCGGAUCAGCAUGUCGCGGUGAAUACGUUCCCGGGCCUUGUACACACCGCCCGUCACACCAUGGGAGUGGGUUGCAAAAGAAGUAGGUAGCUUAACCUUCGGGAUGGCGCUUACCACUUUGUGAUUCAUGACUGGGGUGAAGUCGUAACAAGGUAACCGUA